AUUGAACGCUAGCGGCAUGCCUUACACAUGCAAGUCGAACGGCAGCGGGGGAGCUUGCUCCCGCCGGCGAGUGGCGAACGGGUGAGUAAUACAUCGGAACGUACCCAGUAGCGGGGGAUAGCCCGGCGAAAGCCGGAUUAAUACCGCAUACGCCCUACGGGGGAAAGGGGGGGAUCGCAAGACCUCUCACUAUUGGAGCGGCCGAUGGCUGAUUAGCUAGUUGGUGGGGUAAAGGCCUACCAAGGCGACGAUCAGUAGCUGGUCUGAGAGGACGACCAGCCACACUGGGACUGAGACACGGCCCAGACUCCUACGGGAGGCAGCAGUGGGGAAUUUUGGACAAUGGGCGAAAGCCUGAUCCAGCAAUGCCGCGUGUGCGAAGAAGGCCUUCGGGUUGUAAAGCACUUUUGUCGGGGAAGAAAUCGUUUGGGUUAAUACCCCGAGCAGUUGACGGUACCUGAAGAAUAAGCACCGGCUAACUACGUGCCAUCCGCCGCCGUAA
This 502-nucleotide ribosomal RNA is filed under the name uncultured bacterium. RNAcentral's name for it is "partial 16S ribosomal RNA". It matches the Rfam family "Bacterial small subunit ribosomal RNA", at positions 29 to 523 of the family's 1533-position model. The record is from RNAcentral.